Molecule: long non-coding RNA, 3072 nt
Organism: Gouania willdenowi (blunt-snouted clingfish)
Lineage: Eukaryota; Metazoa; Chordata; Actinopteri; Blenniiformes; Gobiesocidae
Product: signal-induced proliferation-associated 1
Source: Ensembl
AGAGGAGCGCCACACGCCCACAGAGAGGAGCGCCACACGCCCACAGACAGGAGCGCCACACGCCCACAGAGCGGAGCGCCACACACCCACAGAGAGGAGCGCCACAUACCCACAGAGCGGAGCGCCACAUACCCACAGAGAGGAGCGCCACAUACCCACAGACAGGAGCGCCACACACCCACAGAGCGGAGCGCCACAUACCUACGGAGAGGAGCGCCACACGCCCGCGGAGAGGAGUGUCACAUGCCCACAGAGGAGCCCCGUACGCCCACCGAGGGGAAGAAAUCACGGCGUGAGUCGAUUCGUGGUCACGUGACAUUUAGCACCAUGCAGUCAGACGACCUCUUCAUCCGUAAAUUCCGCCGUCAGACCAUCCGGCCGCCAGUCGCCACCGUCACUUUUGACCCCAAACGGGAGGCGGGCGUAGUGGAGUGGCCCCCCAGGAGGGAUGGCGACCGAACCGACGCCGACAGCCUGACGCCGAGCUGCGUAGGCCUCAACCUGAGGUCGGCGGGCCGGGGUCACAUCAUGCAGAGGAGCAACAGCGACGUGACCCUAGGAGACCUGGACUCGUGUGGGAAGGCGGGGGGGAAGGCUGUGCGGGCGGCAGGGGAGAAGGCGGGCGUGGAGGGCGACUCGGGCGUGCUUCUGCACAGAGAGUACGGCAGCCUGUCGUCACUAGAGAGGCAGAUUCAGGCCCGGGGGCCCAACGCGGACGAGCGGGGCCCCCUGAGUCCCAACGCGCUGCGCUUCAAGGACCCCUUCCUGCUGCUGGGGCUGCAGAGCAGCCUCCCCGAGCCCGACGGCUUCUUCAGAGGACUCAGCACCUCCACGGGGGACUCCCCCAAACCUGCUAAACCCCCCAAGCCUGAAAAUCUGGGUAAAAAGUCCAAACCCGUCCUCGCUCACGUUCCUCAACCAGGCUUGUAUGACAUCAUCGGGGGCGGAGCCUGGGUGAGGAACUUCGCCCACUAUGACGUCCAGAGCAUCCUUUUCGACCUGACCGAGGUAGCCACCAACAGGGACAGCAUCGGGAGGAAGAAGAACAUCACGUCGGGGGCGUCAGCUGCCUCUCAGCUCCGCCCCCUGUGCCAGUCCACACCAUCCGCCCCCACGCAGGGAGGGGGAGGAGGGGGAGGGGCAGGCAACGGCUUGAACGCGGACGAUCCCGAGCAGUCGUUGCUGCUGGACGAAGGAGACGGAAACGACAACGAGCUGCUGCUCAGCUGCCCGCACUUCCGUAACGAGACGGGAGGAGAGCAGCAGGGGGGGCUGAGCCGGUCCCAGGGGGGGAAGGGGAGGGGCCUCUGGUCCAGCCUGAGGACCCCCAACGAUGCUGUGUCUGUCCUGGAGGAGCCCAGAGAGAGUCACGUCCAGCAGCAGGGCAAGAGCAACUACUUCAUAGAGCAUGCAGACCUCGGCGCGCAUUAUUACCGCAAAUAUUUCUACAUGAAAGAACAUCAGAACUUCUUUGGAAUGGACGAUCGUCUCGGUCCCGUUGCCAUCAGUUUUCGGCGAGAGGAGAAAGAAGGAUCCAGUGGCGCUCAGUACAACUACAGAAUCAUCUUUCGCACGACAGAGAUGAAGACGCUGAGAGGUUCCAUCCUGGAGGAAUCUGUUCCGUCUGCAGCUCGUCACACGACUCCCAGAGGUCUUUCACCAAAGCGUCUGCUGGAGUUCAUCAUGCCUGAGCUGAACCUGCACUGCCUGCGUUUGGCCUCCAACUCUCCCAAAGUCAGAGACACUUUACUGAAACUGGACGAGCAGGGACUGAACUUCCAGAGAAAGGUGGGGGUGAUGUACUGCAGGGCGGGGCAGAGCUCUGAGGAGGACAUGUACAACAACGAGAGCUCAGGACCAGCGUUUGAGGAGUUUCUGGAUCUGCUCGGUGAACGAGUGCGACUGAAGGGAUGGGAGAAGUAUCGAGCACAGCUGGACAACAAGACGGACUCAACUGGAACACAUUCCCUCUACACGCGCUACCAGGACUACGAGAUAAUGUUUCAUGUGUCCACGAUGCUUCCCUACACGGCCAACAACACGCAGCAGCUGCUGAGGAAGCGACACAUCGGGAACGACAUCGUCACCAUCGUGUUCCAGGAGCCUGGAGCUCUUCCCUUCACACCAAAGUCCAUACGCUCACAUUUCCAACACGUCUUCAUCAUCGUCCAGGUUCAUGAGCCCUGCUCGGACAAUACAUAUUACAGGGUGGCUGUGACUCGCUCUAAAGACAUCCCAUUAUUCGGUCCUCUGUUCCCUAAGGGCGCUCGGUUCCCUCGCUCCGCCGCCUUCAGAGACUUCCUCCUCGCCAAGGCGGUAAACGCGGAAAACGCCGCUGAGAAGUCGGAGAAGUUCCGCUCCAUGGCAACUCGCACGCGCCAGGAAUACCUGAAGGACUUGGCGGAAAACUACGUGACCACCACGCCCAUUGACUCGUCCACCAAGUUCCCGCUGCUGUCGCUGGGCGGCAAGCGUAAAGACAAGCUGAAGGGCGCCAAGGGGGCGGAGCUUCACAGCGCGGGCGCCCUAGUGUGGGCGGUGAUGGUGCACGGCGAGCACACGCUGCCCUGUCUGCUGGGCGUGUCGGCAGAGUCGGUGGUGCUCAUCGAGAGGUACACGCGCAGGGUGGCGUUCAACUGCUCCUGUCGAGACGUGAUUGGCUGGAAGGCGGUGACGGAGCCCAAAGAGGGCGUGGCCUGCCUGGACAUCUAUUACGAGCGCGGAGCAUCUGUGUCCAUCACUGUGAUGGAGACGCAGGUGGAGGAUAUCAAAGAGGUGGUGCAGAGGCUCGAGCUGGUGACUCGAGGCUGCGAGGCGUUCGAGGUCACCCCUCUGCGUGACGGCGUGGGACAGCCAGGCUUCCUCAUGAACGACGAAGGCUUCGUGACGGAGCUGCAGCGGUUCUGCUACGCUGAGAGCGGCGGUCUGCAGCUGUGGGCGCGCGUGGUGCGACUCUGCGGGCAUUCGCUGGUUCACCUCAGCCUGGAGGAGAGAUCCAGGCUGCUGAGGACGGCCCACAAAGUCCACAUCACCGUCAUCCCACCGGACGAGAACGGAAAGCCUCGCAGGUGA